CAUGCAGGCGGUUAGACAAGUCAAAUGUGAAAUCCCCGAGCUUAACUUGGGAAUUGCAUUCGAUACUGGUUGGCUAGAGUGUGGGAGAGGAUGGUAGAAUUCCAGGUGUAGCGGUGAAAUGCGUAGAGAUCUGGAGGAAUACCGAUGGCGAAGGCAGCCAUCUGGCCUAACACUGACGCUGAGGUGCGAAAGCAUGGGGAGCAAACAGGAUUAGAUACCCCUGUA
This 225-nucleotide ribosomal RNA is filed under the name uncultured Acinetobacter sp. Its description in RNAcentral is "partial 16S ribosomal RNA". It matches the Rfam family "Bacterial small subunit ribosomal RNA", at positions 568 to 792 of the family's 1533-position model. The record is from RNAcentral. Lineage: Bacteria; Pseudomonadati; Pseudomonadota; Gammaproteobacteria; Moraxellales; Moraxellaceae.